GCAGCCGCGGUAAUACGUAGGGGGCGAGCGUUGUCCGGAAUGACUGGGCGUAAAGGGCGUGUAGGCGGCGGUAUAAGUCUGGAGUGAAAGUCCUGCUUUCAAGGUGGGAAUUGCUUUGGAGACUGUACAGCUUGAGUGCGGAAGAGGUAAGUGGAAUUCCCAGUGUAGCGGUGAAAUGCGUAGAGAUUGGGAGGAACACCAGUGGCGAAGGCGACUUACUGGGCCGUAACUGACGCUGAGGCGCGAAAGCGUGGGGAGCGAACAGGAUUAGAUACCCC
This 278-nucleotide ribosomal RNA is filed under the name uncultured Oscillospiraceae bacterium. Its description in RNAcentral is "partial 16S ribosomal RNA". It matches the Rfam family "Bacterial small subunit ribosomal RNA", at positions 511 to 788 of the family's 1533-position model. Lineage: Bacteria; Bacillati; Bacillota; Clostridia; Eubacteriales; Oscillospiraceae. The record is from RNAcentral.